AUGUGGCCCCAACCCCGCCUCCCUCCCCACCCCACGAUGUCAGAAAACACACAACAGGGGAAAUUGGCUGCAGCCAAGAAAAAGUUAAAAGAAUAUUGGCAGAGGAAGAGCCCUGGCAUUCCAGAAGGAGCUAACAGGAAAAAGAAAAUCAAUGGCAGUAGCCCUGACACAGCCACUUCUGGUGGUUACCACUCACCUGGGGAUUCAGCAGCAGGUAUCUACAGGGAGGGCCCUGCAUCAUCUGCUACCCUGGAGGAUCUGGAGAGCCAGUACCAAGAACUAGCAGUAGCCCUGGAUUCAAGCUCCGCAAUAAUCAGUCAACUCAGUGAAAACAUCAAUUCACUGGUUCGCACAUCGAAGGAGGAGAAGAAGCAUGAGAUACAUCGAGUACAGAAGCUUGGGUUUACCAAAACCAGAUGGCUGAACCCCUGGCCCCAGAGCCCCCAGCAGGGCCCUCUGAGGUGGAGCAGCUACAAGAUGAGACCAACCACCUAAGGAAGGAGCUGGAGAGUGUGGGAAGACAGCUCCAGGCUGAGGUGGAAAACAAUCAGAUGUUGAGUCUCCUGAACAGGAGACAGAAGGAGAGGCUACGUGAACAGGAGGAGAGGCUACGUGAACAGGAGGAGAGGCUACAUGAACAGAAGGAGAGGCUAUGUGAACAGGAGGAGAGGCUAUGUGAAUAGGAGGAGAGGCUGUGUGAACAGGAAAAGCUGCCAGGGUAGGAGAGACUGCUGGAAGAGGUGGCGAAGCUGUUAGAACAGGAGAGGUGGCAAGAGGAGCAGGAGAGGCUGCUGGAGAGGGAGAGGCUGCUGGACAAGGUGGAGGAGCUGCUGGAACAGGAGAGGCUUUGGGAGCAGGAUGAGAGACUGUGGCAGCAGGAGACUCUGUGGGAGCUGGAGAGGAUGUGGGUGCUGGAGAGGAUGCUGGAGCUGGGUUGGGAAGCCCUCUAUGAGCAGAGGGCGGAGUCACACAGCGGCUUCAAGGAGCUGAACAAUGAGAACAAGAGCGCAAUGCAGUUGGAGGAACAAGUAAAGGAGCUGAAGAAGCCGGGUGAAGCUGAAGAGCCAAGAGGCUCCAAGUCUGCGGCAGCAGCAAGACCAGUACCUGUGUACCGCUCUAGGAGCCCUGAUCCCACAGGAGCUUGGGUGUGCGGACAAGCAGUGUGGACUCCCCAGGAGCACCCAGGCUUGGGUGGAGAAGCUGUUGGUACAGGAGAGGCUGCAGGAGGAGCAGGAGAUGCUGCAUGCCAUUCUUUUUGGGCUGCCGAGAACAGGGAGAUAAACAUCACCAUCAUCUAA
RNAcentral lists this long non-coding RNA (1298 nucleotides) under Homo sapiens (human). Its description in RNAcentral is "non-protein coding lnc-BPY2B-10:1". The record is from RNAcentral. Lineage: Eukaryota; Metazoa; Chordata; Mammalia; Primates; Hominidae.